UGAGCAUCGGCUCACCUCCUCUCCCUCUCACUCAAGUCCUUGCCGCCGCCACCACCACCCAUGCCGGCAGCUUCCGGCAAGCUCCGGCACUGCGCAGCACGCCCCCGAGCUCCACACGAUGCGCGCCUCCCUCCCCUCCAGCCAGAUUCCCCGCUCCCGGCCUCUACCGCCUACCCGGAACCCCACCCCCAUGGCUAGGGUUUUGGGUAGGGCUUCGCCGGCGUGUCUCCGGCGGCCCCAGAUUCGUCCCUCUUCCUUCCUGGUCAGGAUCCGCCACCCCUACACCUCACCUUCUCAUCAUAUCCUUUGCUGCAGAAGGAGAUCUAACACGUGGUGGGAGUUCCCCAUCCACCACGGUCGCCGUCGUCAAGGGUUUUCUUCACGGAGAUGUGAAGUCGCCAUGGACCUGCCUCCAUGGCUAAAGAUGGGGAGGCACUCGAAGGGAUGAGCCCCUACUCUGGGGAGAGAGUAGAGGGCAUGUUGGGCGCUGCUGCUGGGGGGGAUUACGACGUGGGCUUGCCGGAGCUACUGCUGGCUAUUCCUGCUAGAGAGAGAGAGAGAGAGAGAGAGAGAGAGAGAGAGAGAGAGAGAGAGAACAGAGAAGAGAGAACAGAGAACGGAGAUCAGAGAGAUGGAUUCGAACGCCUACUGAUCUGGUCUUGUGGAGAAAAAAGAGAUGGGUCAGGAAGAGAGAGAGAGCAGAGAGAUGCAAGAUAGAGAGAGCACAGAGGGAUGUUGAUUGCAGGACAUUCAGUUGUUUCGCUCAUUGCCAUGCCGCAAGUUUCCGACAUUGUCGUGCCUGCACAUCGUCGACUUCGUCGGAAAUCCGUGUGCACGUACUCCACCAUCUGCCGGAACUUCUUCUGACCUGAGGCAGGGGGAGAUCCAAUACCAAUAUUUAUGAUUUGACAUGAGUGAGUAUAUUGUUCUGACUUUAUGAUACAUGUGUUUUGUACAUAUAUUCUCAUGUUCAACCGGUAAUGAGCAUAUGCUCUUUUCUGAUGUUGCAUUAAUCAAUGUUUCGAAAAUGAUGUAUCUGUGAUAAAAAUAUUGAAGUAAUGGAUAUGUCCAUAAUUGGCUAUGAAUCAAAGAGGUAGAUUCAUAAAAUGAUGGUGGUUAUAAGAAGAAGUCGGUUCAUUUACUGCUGUAGUAAGAAAGUGGAACAAACUGAUUUUGUGCAUAUACUAAAUUUGCUUGCAUGCUAUAUUUUUAUGCAUUUCCUGCAUACUGAGGGGUGUGUGCGUGAUCUCUUUUCUAAGGCCAUGAAAUAUUUUAAGGUAGCUGCUCUUGAUGAGGGUCAAUGGCUUGCGUACUGUACUUCUACAGAUGCUUUCUUGCAUAAUGACCUAUGUGCAUGCUCUCUUUCCUCAAGUCAAGAUUUGGUCAGGGAAGCUACUUAGUAUAUGUAUGUCCAAUAAAUUCAGAAGUAGGAUAACAUGGCUAUGAGGUUGCAUCAUGAGUCUGAAACCAAGGCUCUCCUGUCUAAAUAAUGACCUCAUCAGAAAAACAAAAUCAUUUGAUGAUUUAUAUACAAUUUUACUAUAGUUAUUCUCAUGUCAAAUGUGGUUCAUGUAGAAACUACUACAUGCACAAAUAAGAUCGUAGUAAUACUUUUUCAAUGAUUAUCUUGGAUGUCAUGUCUUCAUGUUAUUCAAGGAUUUUGAUAUCUGAAAGUUAUGACAAUAUAGAUAGGGAGAUAGCCCUCUGUGUCCUAGAGGUCACUGUACGUUGUAGCGAAGGGCACGCUGCAAUUAGCGGGCACACGGAUGCGGUGAUCCUGCAUAAGCUUUGCUGUGUUGAUUUCUUGUCAAGGAGGUCGUUGUCCAAGCCUUUCCUGUGCCUUGAUUAGUGGUACUUCUCUCCCAUUCAACAUAUUUCACUAAUAUAUUUGAUUAUUGAGUGAUAUGACCUAAUUAAUCUGUACUUAGACACACAGCCAAAGAGUAGCAUGCAAACUUUGUACAAGACAGUCUGACCUAGCACUUGGUAAUGAGAUGAAAUAUGUUCGGUAAUGCAAGCAUUUUUGUUAGGAAUCACUUACACCAUGAACCUAUUUGUAAAGCAGAGGAUGAGACGUUCAUCCGAUUUAUAGAUUGAGAAAUGAAAUAGGUAGCGGAGCAAUUGAUAAGUAGGGAGUGAGGCAUUGAUCAACAAUUGAUAAAGCAGGGAAAUGAGGCAAGGCAUUGAUCCCAAUUAUCCAUGGGAAACUGAAGAGAGGCAACAAUUUUAGAGAAUAAGAAGGCCACCGUGCAGAUCUCAGAUCUUGGGUAUAAUUAAUAUUCCGAGACAAUAUAGAGUUGCCCAUGUAUGUAAAACAAUGGAGACAAGGCAUAGACAUAGGUGAUACUAUACUACUCUGUCCGGCAUGGUACGUACUAACUGUUCUCUCCCUAGGUUCUUCCCCUACUUAUUCUUGUUGACAAUGCACUUUGUGGAAUUAUUAUUGCCAAGGCUUCAAUUAUAAGAAAAGGAUUUUUCUGUAUGUACAUUACAGUCUCAAAUUAAUUUCUAAUCAAUUUUAAACCAUUAUUAUAAUCUAAGCUUUUUCAUGGGAAAUAAAUAAUGAUGGAUGAUCAUUUUUUUCAUGGAUUAUUAUUGCCAAGGCCUAGCUAAGACAAGAUAUAACCAGAAAUGCUUGUUCUACGUAUACACACAUGUUAUCAUAUGGUUCUGUUACCUAACCAUUCUUUUUUUUAUUUUUGCAUGAGAUUACCACUGUUUCUUUUAAGGUGUUGUAUAUUUGUUUUUUAGUUGAGAUUUCAUUUCUUUCAAUUAUUUUUAAGGUAUAUAGUUUGUAUGACUUUGCACAAUACAAUGUUAUUUUGCUAAUGUGGUCUUCGGUGUCACCUUUGUAAGGAUUGCUUCAUUAUAUCUACGGCAAAAUCCAAGUCGUCAGAUUGGAAGUGAUGGGUGGAACUUUGUUCUCUAGGCACCAAUGUCUAACACUCUUGCCUGAUAAUGUUAUGUGCCGGGAUGAGAGCAAACGAGAGAUGGCAGGAUGUGUGUGCCUAAUGAAGAAGGAUCUUUGUGCAACACGCCUGAUUCGCCGGACACAAACGGCACUCACUAAGGACCAUAUGUUUGUAACUGUACGUGUUUGAGAUUUUCUCUGGCUGUUGUGUUAGGAUUUGUAUCCCGUUGCAACGCACGGGCAUUUUCCUAGUUAAUCUUAUGCUGGCAUAGAGUGGGACUAGUGCCCGUAAGAUCAUCAAGAGUAUAUC
Long non-coding RNA from Triticum aestivum (bread wheat), 3221 nucleotides. RefSeq lists it as uncharacterized. The record is from RefSeq and is a predicted model, not a curated record. Lineage: Eukaryota; Viridiplantae; Streptophyta; Magnoliopsida; Poales; Poaceae. The transcript is spliced from 3 exons.